ACCUCCCACCCGUGUUUAUCGUACCUUGUUGCUUCGGCGGGCCCGCCUCACGGCCGCCGGGGGGCAUCUGCCCCCGGGCCCGCGCCCGCCGAAGACACCCACGAACUCUGUCUGAAGAUUGUAGUCUGAGUGGAAUUAUAAAUUAUUUAAAACUUUCAACAACGGAUCUCUUGGUUCCGGCAUCGAUGAAGAACGCAGCGAAAUGCGAUACGUAAUGUGAAUUGCAGAAUUCAGUGAAUCAUCGAGUCUUUGAACGCACAUUGCGCCCUCUGGUAUUCCGGAGGGCAUGCCUGUCCGAGCGUCAUUGCUGCCCUCAAGCACGGCUUGUGUGUUGGGCCCCGUCCUCCGCUCCCGGGGGACGGGCCCGAAAGGCAGCGGCGGCACCGCGUCCGGUCCUCGAGCGUAUGGGGCUUUGUCACCCGCUCUGUAGGCCCGGCCGGCGCUUGCCGAUCAACCAAACUUUUUUCCAGGUUGACCUCGGAUCAGGUAGGGAUACCCGCUGAACUUAAGCAUAUCAAUAAGCGGAGGAA
Molecule: ribosomal RNA, 530 nt
Filed under: Penicillium buchwaldii
Lineage: Eukaryota; Fungi; Ascomycota; Eurotiomycetes; Eurotiales; Aspergillaceae
Description: eukaryotic LSU rRNA
Rfam family: 5.8S ribosomal RNA (bases 151-304)
Source: RNAcentral